Molecule: ribosomal RNA, 422 nt
Filed under: Fusobacteriota bacterium
Lineage: Bacteria; Fusobacteriati; Fusobacteriota
Description: Fusobacteria bacterium partial 16S ribosomal RNA
Rfam family: Bacterial small subunit ribosomal RNA
Source: RNAcentral
UGGGGGAUUUUGCACAAUGGGCGCAAGCCUGAUGCAGCGACGCCGCGUGAGGGAUGAAGGCCUUCGGGUUGUAAACCUCUUUCGCUGGGUUGAAAGGCCAUGCUUUGGGUGUGGUUGAUUUGAACUGGUAAAGAAGUACCGGCUAACUACGUGCCAGCAGCCGCGGUAAUACGUAGGGUACUAGCGUUGUCCGGAUUUAUUGGGCGUAAAGGGCUUGUAGGUGGUUUGUCGCGUCUGUCGUGAAAUCCUGUGGCUUAACCAUGGGCUUGCGGUGGGUACGGGCAGGCUUGAGUGCGGGAGGGGAGACUGGAAUUCCUGGUGUAGCGGUAGAAUGCGCAGAUAUCAGGAGGAACACCGGUGGCGAAGGCGGGUCUCUGGGCCGUUACUGACACUGAGUAGCGAAAGCGUGGGGAGCGAACAGG